This 2907-nucleotide ribosomal RNA is filed under the name metagenome. RNAcentral describes it as "bacterial LSU rRNA". It matches the Rfam family "Bacterial large subunit ribosomal RNA". The record is from RNAcentral.
UCAAGAUAUAAAGGGCAUACGGUGGAUGCCUAGGCGCUAAGAGCCGAAGAAGGGCGCGGCCAGCAGCGAAAUGCCACGGGGAGCCGUAAGCAGGCAACGAUCCGUGGAUACCCGAAUGGGGCAACCCAUCCGGAGUCAUAUCCGGAUAUCACAAGCUGAAUUCAUAGGCUUGAUGAGGGCAAGCCGGGGAACUGAAACAUCUAAGUACCCGGAGGAAAAGAAAGAAAACUCGAUUCCCCCAGUAGCGGCGAGCGAAGCGGGAAUAGCCCAAACCUUACUUUACGGAGUAAGGGGUUGUAGGACUCUAGAAGUAGGAGUAGUAAGUUUAGCUGAAGAGAACUGGAAAGUUCCGGCGAAGAAGGUAAAACCCCUGUAAGCGAAAAGCGAGCUACCCGAAAGAGUAUCCUGAGUACCGCGGGGCACGAGGAAUCCCGUGGGAAUCCGGGGGGCCCACCCCCCAAGGCUAAAUACUCCUUAGCGACCGAUAGCGAACAAGUACCGUGAGGGAAAGGUGAAAAGCACCCCGGGAGGGGAGUGAAAUAGAACCUGAAACCGUAUGCUUACAAGCAGUCAGAGCACAAAAGUGUGAUGGCGUGCCUUUUGUAGAAUGAACCAGCGAGUUGUGAUAUGCAGCGAGGUUAAGGACUAAAGGUCUGGAGCCGAAGCGAAAGCGAGUCUGAAGAGGGCGUAUAGUUGCAUGUUGCAGACCCGAAACCGUGUGAUCUACCCAUGGCCAGAGUGAAGGUGAGGUAAAGCUCACUGGAGGCUCGAACCCACUGUCGUUGAAAAGACAGGGGAUGAGCUGUGGGUAGGGGUGAAAAGCCAAUCGAACACGGAAAUAGCUGGUACUCCCCGAAAUAGCUUUAGGGCUAGCCUCAAUGGAUUGUAUACGGGGGUAGAGCACUGAAUGGGCUAGGGGCCUAUCGGUUACCGACCCCUAUCAAACUACGAAUACCGUAUACUAAGAAAUUGGGAGUCAGACUAUGGGGGAUAAGCUUCAUAGUCGAGAGGGAAACAGCCCAGACCGUCGGCUAAGGUCCCCAAGGCUACGCUAAGUGGAAAAGGAUGUGGGACUGCCCGGACAACCAGGAUGUUGGCUUAGAAGCAGCCACCAUUUAAAGAGUGCGUAAUAGCUCACUGGUCGAGUGGUUUUGCGCCGAAAAUGUAACGGGGCUCAAGUGUAGCACCGAAGCCGCGGCAUCGAGGAAUCGAUGGGUAGGGGAGCAUUGUAAGAGCACAGAAGGUAAACCGUGAGGUUUGCUGGAGCGCUUACAAGAGAGAAUGCUGGUAUGAGUAAGCGAAAAGGAAGGUGAGAAUCCUUCCCGCCGAAAAUCUAAGGUUUCCUGGGGAAGGCUCGUCCGCCCAGGGUAAGUCGGGACCUAAGCUGAGGCCGAAAGGCGUAGGUGAUGGACAAUUGGUUGAGAUUCCAAUACCACCAUAAAUCGUUAUCAGCGAUGGGGUGACACAGGAGGAUGCCCCGAGCGUGCGGUUGGAAGAGCACGUCCAAGCUACAAGUGGGUGCUGUAGGCAAAUCCGCAGCAUAUAACCAUGAGUAGUGAUGGGGAGCGAAAAUAAGUAGCGAAGCGGGAAAGUUCAAACUGUCAAGAAAAGCCUCUAGUGAGAUUUGUGGUGCCCGUACCGUAAACCGACACAGGUAGAUGAGGAGAGAAUCCUAAGGCGCGCGAGAUAACCCUCGUUAAGGAACUAGGCAAAAUGACCCCGUAACUUCGGGAGAAGGGGUGCUCUUGAAAAAGAGCCGCAGAGAAAUAGUCCAGACGACUGUUUAGCAAAAACACAGGUCCCUGCCAAUCCGAAAGGAGAAGUAUAGGGGCUGACGCCUGCCCGGUGCUGGAAGGUUAAGAGGAGGGGUUAGCGAAAGCGAAGCUCUGAAUUGAAGCCCCAGUAAACGGCGGCCGUAACUAUAACGGUCCUAAGGUAGCGAAAUUCCUUGUCGGGUAAGUUCCGACCCGCACGAAAGGCGUAACGAUCUGGACACUGUCUCAACGAGGGACUCGGCGAAAUUGUAAUACCGGUAAAGAUGCCGGUUACCUGCGACAGGACAGAAAGACCCCAUGGAGCUUUACUGCAGCUUGACAUUGGAUUUUGGUAUAGAAUGUACAGGAUAGGUGGGAGGCAAAGAAGCAAGAACGCCAGUUUUUGUGGAGCCGUCGGUGGGAUACCACUCUUUCUGUGCUGAAGUUCUAACCAUAGCCCUUGAAACAGGGUUUGGGACAUUGUCAGGCGGGCGGUUUGACUGGGGCGGUCGCCUCCCAAAGAGUAACGGAGGCGCCCAAAGGUUCCCUCAGUGCGGAUGGAAAUCGCACGUAGAGUGUAAAGGCAAAAGGGAGCUUAACAGAGAGACUGACAAGUCGACCUGGUACGAAAGUAGGGCUUAGUGAUCCGGUGGUACCGAGUGGAAGGGCCAUCGCUCAACGGAUAAAAGCUACCCUGGGGAUAACAGGCUUAUCUCCCCCAAGAGUUCACAUCGACGGGGAGGUUUGGCACCUCGAUGUCGGCUCAUCGCAUCCUGGGGCUGUAGUAGGUCCCAAGGGUUUGGCUGUUCGCCAAUUAAAGCGGUACGUGAGCUGGGUUCAGAACGUCGUGAGACAGUUCGGUCCCUAUCCGUCGCAGGCGUAGGAAAUUUGAGAGGAUCUGUCCCUAGUACGAGAGGACCGGGAUGGACGAAUCACUGGUGUACCAGUUGUUCCGCCAGGGGCAUAGCUGGGUAGCUAUAUUCGGACUGGAUAAACGCUGAAAGCAUCUAAGCGUGAAGCCAACCUCAAGAUGAGAUUUCCCACAGAGUUAAUCUGGUAAGACCCCUGAAAGAUUAUCAGGUAGAUAGGCCGGGAGUGGAAGCAUGGUGACAUGUGGAGCGGACCGGUACUAAUAGGUCGAGGUCUUGACCUU